This 403-nucleotide ribosomal RNA is filed under the name Verrucomicrobiota bacterium. RNAcentral's name for it is "Verrucomicrobia bacterium partial 16S ribosomal RNA". It matches the Rfam family "Bacterial small subunit ribosomal RNA", at positions 355 to 776 of the family's 1533-position model. The record is from RNAcentral. Lineage: Bacteria; Pseudomonadati; Verrucomicrobiota.
UGGGGAAUAUUGCACAAUGGGGGAAACCCUGAUGCAGCGACGCCGCGUGAGCGAAGAAGGUUUUCGAAUCGUAAAGCUCUGUCCUAUGAGAAGAUAAUGACGGUAUCAUAGGAGGAAGCCCCGGCUAAAUACGUGCCAGCAGCCGCGGUAAUACGUAUGGGGCGAGCGUUGUCCGGAAUUGUUGGGCGUAAAGGGUACGUAGGCGGUCUAUUAAGUCAGGUGUGAAAGCGUGAGGCUUAACCUCCUUAAGCACUUGAAACUGAUAGAGUUGAGUGAAGGAGGGGAAAGUGGAAGUCCUAGUGUAGCGGUGAUAUGCGUAGAUAUUAGGAGGAAUACCGGUGGCGAAGGCGACUUUCUGGACUUUUACUGACGCUCAGGUACGAAAGCGUGGGGAGCAAACAGG